This 506-nucleotide ribosomal RNA is filed under the name uncultured bacterium. RNAcentral describes it as "partial 16S ribosomal RNA". It matches the Rfam family "Bacterial small subunit ribosomal RNA", at positions 29 to 523 of the family's 1533-position model. The record is from RNAcentral.
AGUGAACGCUGGCGGUAGGCCUAACACAUGCAAGUCGAACGGCAGCACAGGAGAGCUUGCUCUCUGGGUGGCGAGUGGCGGACGGGUGAGGAAUACAUCGGAAUCUACUCUGUCGUGGGGGAUAACGUAGGGAAACUUACGCUAAUACCGCAUACGACCUACGGGUGAAAGCAGGGGACCUUCGGGCCUUGCGCGAUUGAAUGAGCCGAUGUCGGAUUAGCUAGUUGGCGGGGUAAAGGCCCACCAAGGCGACGAUCCGUAGCUGGUCUGAGAGGAUGAUCAGCACCACUGGAACUGAGACACGGUCCAGACUCCUACGGGAGGCAGCAGUGGGGAAUAUUGGACAAUGGGCGCAAGCCUGAUCCAGCCAUACCGCGUGGGUGAAGAAGGCCUUCGGGUUGUAAAGCCCUUUUGUUGGGAAAGAAAUCCAGCUGGCUAAUACCCGGUUGGGAUGACGGUACCCAAAGAGUAAGCACCGGCUAACUUCGUGCCAGCCGCCGCCGUAA